AGGCUGCAACUCGCCUGCAUGAAGUUGGAAUUGCUAGUAAUCGCGAAUCAGAAUGUCGCGGUGAAUACGUUCCCGGGCCUUGUACACACCGCCCGUCACACCAUGAGAGUCGAUAACACCCGAAGCCUGUGAGCUAACCGCAAGGGGGGCAGCAGUCGAAGGUGGGGUUNAUGAUUGGGGUGAAGUCGUAACAAGGUAAC
This 200-nucleotide ribosomal RNA is filed under the name uncultured bacterium. Its description in RNAcentral is "partial 16S ribosomal RNA". It matches the Rfam family "Bacterial small subunit ribosomal RNA", at positions 1302 to 1500 of the family's 1533-position model. The record is from RNAcentral.